Molecule: ribosomal RNA, 253 nt
Filed under: uncultured bacterium
Lineage: Bacteria
Description: partial 16S ribosomal RNA
Rfam family: Bacterial small subunit ribosomal RNA
Source: RNAcentral
UACGGGGGGGGCAAGCGUUGUUCGGAAUUACUGGGCGUAAAGGGCUCGUAGGCGGCCAACUAAGUCGGAUGUGAAAUCCCCAGGCUUAACCUGGGAACUGCAUCCGAUACUGGAUGGCUUGAAUCCGGGAGAGGGAUGCAGAAUUCCAGGUGUAGCGGUGAAAUGCGUAGAUAUCUGGAGGAAUACCGGUGGCGAAGGCGGCAUCCUGGACCGGCAUUGACGCUGAGGAGCGAAAGUGUGGGGAGCGAACAGG